UACGUAGGGUGCAAGCGUUAUCCGGAAUUAUUGGGCGUAAAGAGCUCGUAGGCGGUUUGUCGCGUCUGCUGUGAAAACUGGAGGCUCAACCUCCAGCCUGCAGUGGGUACGGGCAAACUAGAGUUCGGUAGGGGAGACUGGAAUUCCUGGUGUAGCGGUGAAAUGCGCAGAUAUCAGGAGGAACACCGAUGGCGAAGGCAGGUCUCUGGGCCGAUACUGACGCUGAGGAGCGAAAGCGUGGGGAGCAAACAGG
RNAcentral lists this ribosomal RNA (253 nucleotides) under uncultured bacterium. RNAcentral describes it as "partial 16S ribosomal RNA". It matches the Rfam family "Bacterial small subunit ribosomal RNA", at positions 524 to 776 of the family's 1533-position model. The record is from RNAcentral.